This 253-nucleotide ribosomal RNA is filed under the name uncultured bacterium. Its description in RNAcentral is "partial 16S ribosomal RNA". It matches the Rfam family "Bacterial small subunit ribosomal RNA", at positions 524 to 776 of the family's 1533-position model. The record is from RNAcentral.
UACGGGGGGGGCAAGCGUUGUUCGGAAUUACUGGGCGUAAAGGGUCUGUAGGUGGCUUGCUAAGUCAGACGUGAAAUCCCUCAGCUUAACUGGGGAACUGCGUCUGAGACUGGCGAGCUUGAGGGCAGGAGAGGAACGCGGAAUUCCAGGUGUAGCGGUGAAAUGCGUAGAUAUCUGGAGGAACACCGGUGGCGAAGGCGGCAUCCUGGACCGAGAUUGACGCUGAUGCGCGAAAGCCAGGGGAGCAAACGGG